RNAcentral lists this ribosomal RNA (354 nucleotides) under uncultured bacterium. Its description in RNAcentral is "partial 16S ribosomal RNA". It matches the Rfam family "Bacterial small subunit ribosomal RNA", at positions 338 to 709 of the family's 1533-position model. The record is from RNAcentral.
CCUACGGGAGGCAGCAGUGGGGAAUAUUGCACAAUGGGGGAAACCCUGAUGCAGCGACGCCGCGUGAGUGAAGAAGUAAUUCGUUAUGUAAAGCUCUAUCAGCAGGGAAGAAAAUGACGGUACCUGAGUAAGAAGCCCCGGCUAACUACGUGCCAGCAGCCGCGGUAAUACGUAGGGGGCAAGCGUUAUCCGGAUUUACUGGGUGUAAAGGGAGCGUAGACGGGAGGGCAAGUCUGGAGUGAAAGGGGGGGGCUCAACCCUCAGACUGCAGUGGAAACUGUACGGUUGGAGUACAGGAGAGGUAGGUGGAAUUCGUGGUGUAGCGGUGAAAUGCGUAGAUAUUAGGAGGAACAC